Molecule: ribosomal RNA, 497 nt
Filed under: uncultured bacterium
Lineage: Bacteria
Description: partial 16S ribosomal RNA
Rfam family: Bacterial small subunit ribosomal RNA
Source: RNAcentral
GAUGAACGCUGGCGGCGUGCCUAAUACAUGCAAGUCGAACGCAUAGCGACAGGUGCUUGCACCUUUCAGGUGGGUGGCCAACGGGUGAGUAACACGUGGACAACCUGCCUCAAGGCUGGGGAUAACAUUUGGAAACAGAUGCUAAUACCGAAUAAAACUUAGUGUCGCAUGACACAAAGUUAAAAGGCGCUUCGGCGUCACCUCGAGAUGGAUCCGCGGUGCAUUGGUUAGUUGGUGGGGUAAAGGGCUACCAAGACAAUUAUGCAUAGCCGAGUUGAGUGACGGAUCGGCCACAUGAGGACUGAGACACGGCCCAAACUACUACGGGAGGCUGCAGUAGGGAAUCUUAGACAAUGGUCGAAAGCAUGAUGGAACAACGCCGCGUGUGUGAUGAAGGCGUUCGGGUCGUAAAGCACUGUUGUAUGGGAAGAACAGCUAGAAUAGGAAAUGAUGCUAGUUUGACGGUACCAUACCAGAAAGGGACGGCUAACUACGUG